GCCUUCAUGGUGUAGUGGUCAGCACACUCGGCGCGUAUUCGAGAGGUCAGUGGUUCGACUCCCGGCGAGGGCA
RNAcentral lists this transfer RNA (73 nucleotides) under Stegodyphus mimosarum. It matches the Rfam family "tRNA". Rfam says of the family: Transfer RNA (tRNA) molecules are approximately 80 nucleotides in length. Lineage: Eukaryota; Metazoa; Arthropoda; Arachnida; Araneae; Eresidae. The record is from Rfam by way of RNAcentral.